GGGCUGGGGCUCAGUGGUAGAGCGCUCGCUUAGCACACGUGAGGCCCUGGGGGCCCUGGGUACAAUCCUCAGCACCACA
RNAcentral lists this transfer RNA (79 nucleotides) under Marmota monax (woodchuck). RNAcentral describes it as "tRNA.Ala". Lineage: Eukaryota; Metazoa; Chordata; Mammalia; Rodentia; Sciuridae. The record is from RNAcentral.